GACGAACGCUGGCGGCGUGCCUAAUACAUGCAAGUCGAACGCUGAAGGAGGAGCUUGCUUCUCUGGAUGAGUUGCGAACGGGUGAGUAACGCGUAGGUAACCUGCCUGGUAGCGGGGGAUAACUAUUGGAAACGAUAGCUAAUACCGCAUAAGAGUAGAUGUUGCAUGACAUUUGCUUAAAAGGUGCAAUUGCAUCACUACCAGAUGGACCUGCGUUGUAUUAGCUAGUUGGUGGGGUAACGGCUCACCAAGGCGACGAUACAUAGCCGACCUGAGAGGGUGAUCGGCCACACUGGGACUGAGACACGGCCCAGACUCCUACGGGAGGCAGCAGUAGGGAAUCUUCGGCAAUGGACGGAAGUCUGACCGAGCAACGCCGCGUGAGUGAAGAAGGUUGUCGGAUCGUAAAGCUCUGUUGUAAGAGAAGAACGAGUGUGAGAGUGGAAAGUUCACACUGUGACGGUAUCUGACCAGAAAGGGACGGCUAACUACGUG
RNAcentral lists this ribosomal RNA (495 nucleotides) under uncultured bacterium. RNAcentral's name for it is "partial 16S ribosomal RNA". It matches the Rfam family "Bacterial small subunit ribosomal RNA", at positions 28 to 507 of the family's 1533-position model. The record is from RNAcentral.